GUCCACAGUGUAGACCACAC
Molecule: non-coding RNA, 20 nt
Filed under: Mus musculus (house mouse)
Lineage: Eukaryota; Metazoa; Chordata; Mammalia; Rodentia; Muridae
Source: RNAcentral